Molecule: ribosomal RNA, 501 nt
Filed under: uncultured bacterium
Lineage: Bacteria
Description: bacterial SSU rRNA
Rfam family: Bacterial small subunit ribosomal RNA
Source: RNAcentral
AGGACGAACGCUGGCGGCGUAGCUUAACACAUGCAAGUCGAACGGAACUCUUUGGAUCAAGGCUUCGGCCAAGUGAAUUUGAGUUUAGUGGCAGACGGGUGAGUAACACGUGGGUAACCUACCUUUAAGCUGGGGAUAACAGUUGGAAACGAUUGCUAAUACCGAAUAAGAUACUCGUAUUGAAAGAAGCCCUUAAAGCUUCACUUAAAGAUGGGCCUGCGGCGUAUUAACUAGUUGGUGAGGUAAUGGCUCACCAAGGUAACGAUGCGUAGCCGAACUGAGAGGUUGAACGGCCACACUGGGACUGAGACACGGCCCAGACUCCUACGGGAGACAGCAGUUAGGAAUAUUCGUCAAUGGGGGAAACCCUGAACGAGCAAUGCCGCGUGAGUGAUGAAGGCCCUAUGGGUUGUAAAACUCUGUUGUAUGGGAAGAACGGCUAUAUUAGGAAAUGAAUAUAGAGUGACGGUACCAUACCAGAAAGCUCCGGCUAACUACGUG